This 155-nucleotide small nuclear RNA is filed under the name Pogona vitticeps (central bearded dragon). Its description in RNAcentral is "U1 spliceosomal RNA (ENSPVIG00000011284.1)". It matches the Rfam family "U1 spliceosomal RNA", at positions 1 to 107 of the family's 166-position model. From Rfam's summary of the family: U1 is a small nuclear RNA (snRNA) component of the spliceosome (involved in pre-mRNA splicing). Lineage: Eukaryota; Metazoa; Chordata; Lepidosauria; Squamata; Agamidae. The record is from RNAcentral.
AUACUUACCUGGCACGGGAGAUACCAUGAUCAUGAAAUUGGUUUUCCCAGGGUGAGGCUCAUCCAUUGCACUUUGGGUGUGCUGAUCCCUGUGAUUUCCCCUGGUCUUUCUAGAAUCACUCUUUCCCCUUCAGUCCUUGGCUGUUUUCACUGCCC